CCUACGGGGGGCUGCAGUGGGGAAUAUUGGACAAUGGGCGAAAGCCUGAUCCAGCCAUGCCGCGUGUGUGAAGAAGGUCUUCGGAUUGUAAAGCACUUUAAGUUGGGAGGAAGGGCCGUUACCUAAUACGUGAUGGUUUUGACGUUACCGACAGAAUAAGCACCGGCUAACUCUGUGCCAGCAGCCGCGGUAAUACAGAGGGUGCAAGCGUUAAUCGGAAUUACUGGGCGUAAAGCGCGCGUAGGUGGUUUGUUAAGUUGGAUGUGAAAUCCCCGGGCUCAACCUGGGAACUGCAUUCAAAACUGACUGACUAGAGUAUGGUAGAGGGUGGUGGAAUUUCCUGUGUAGCGGUGAAAUGCGUAGAUAUAGGAAGGAACACCAGUGGCGAAGGCGACCACCUGGACUGAUACUGACACUGAGGUGCGAAAGCGUGGGGAGCAAACAGGAUUAGAUACCCCGGUAGUC
This 465-nucleotide ribosomal RNA is filed under the name uncultured Pseudomonas sp. Its description in RNAcentral is "bacterial SSU rRNA". It matches the Rfam family "Bacterial small subunit ribosomal RNA", at positions 338 to 795 of the family's 1533-position model. Lineage: Bacteria; Pseudomonadati; Pseudomonadota; Gammaproteobacteria; Pseudomonadales; Pseudomonadaceae. The record is from RNAcentral.